CAGAAAAUAGACAAAUUACUUCUCACGGAGCACCUUAGUGCCAGUUCUCCAGGCCCCACUUCUCCACACAGUGACACUGCCUUCCAUAUUCAUCACAGCAUCUGCACGCUUGACUGGGAAAAUCAUGAGGCCCUGCCAAGUCGGUGGUUGCGCUAGCUCUACCGUGACACUGUGAGGAGAAACUUGGGUUUCGAACCAGUGAACAAUUUUUAUUUACUUAUUCAUGAGAGACAGAGAGAGAG
This is a non-coding RNA of Leptonychotes weddellii (Weddell seal), 242 nucleotides long. The record is from RefSeq and is a predicted model, not a curated record. Lineage: Eukaryota; Metazoa; Chordata; Mammalia; Carnivora; Phocidae.